GAGUUUAUUCUGCACCAUUUGUGAAAACACACACUCACAAGCAAUUCGUUGAGUAGACACCGUGAAAUAAAAUUAUAUUGUGAAAAAUACUAUUUAUCAAACAGGUGAAACAAACUAAUCAGGUGCAUCUCCGUAAGCAAAGAAAAAGGCAGACCAAAAUCUAUAGGAUAUGAGACAUAUAUAUCUCUUUGUUUAUAUAUAGACACACACACACACACACGUCAUAAUACCUUGACUUUCUUCCAGAGACUAAACAUUGGUUUGUGGACUAAAAACUCAGAGAAAAAAUUACCAGAAUGGGUAAAUGAGUAAUGGAGCAAACAUGCACAUUACUGAGAGAGAACACAUGUCCAGUGCAUACAGUUAUAAACAACCAUACUUAUAUAAUUUCCAUGUGGGAGAAGUAUAUUAGGUUAUGAAAGCAAGCGCCGUCGUUCGUGAUUUUAACGCACACGACUGAUGUCAUGUCACUAUGGUGCCAACCGGCUUGCCCAUGACACAGCUAGAUUCUGUCACCUCAAUCUUUGUAAUCUCAUCAUCUUAGGACAUGCCACAUUUUGCAAUGUUGUGAGUAGAUGACAGAUAAGAUGUAGCAGUGUAUAAUGGAAUUAGGGGUGGAUCAGCAACCUGACAUGCGCGGGGGAGGUACUCUGCCCGCCACUUCCCAUCCCUAGAGGGGGCGUGCAGGGUCGGCUACCAUCACCUUGACGCUCGGCCCACGAGACUACCAUAGAUGUAUUCUCACCUGCGUCGAUGCCACGUGCAUGACGCCACGACCGCGGCUGCCACAGCCUGGCCUCUCCUACAAGUAAAAAAGUAAAUCACACCAAAAUCAACACAAAAGGCACACCAAAUCAAGUUGAGAAGUGAGAGUGCAAGGGAUUCAUCGUACCUGCUCCGAGUAGGUCGAGACGCAAUAGUAAAUCCCACCGGCUGCCUUCAUGUCCGUUCAUGAUUGGAACAGGCAUGUUUCAGCCAGCUCGAGGUGCACUUACCAAGGUUGCAAAUUACAUGAUUUACGUAUAUAUAUUGUGAGAAGAAAACCCAAAAAAACGAUUGCAUGUAUUUUUAGCGAAGUGUGCUUCUGAACCACAGCUUGGAAUUGUGUAAUCACGACAUGACAUCAUGAUUCCCCAAAACAAUUCAGACCAUAGUUAGCACAGUAUGGACACCUAAAUCUUGAACAUUCUAAAAUAAUUACAAUAUCCUCAUUUUUCUCUAUUUAUACCAGAAAUUAAGAAGAACCGCAAGCAAUCAUCAGGAAAUACCAAAUCUAGGGGUUACAGAAAGUCAAAGUGUUCCCAUCAAACUGUGGAGAACACUAAUGUUCUAUCUUGUUUUUAAUCAAAACUAAUGUUCUACCCGGGAAGAAAAAUGACAGAUGCAACUCACGCAGAUGACCAGGCCUAGGUAAUUUAUAGCAGAUGUCCACCCGUGAGUCCUUUUUCUGCGGAUUAAAAGAAACACUUGCAAGUUGUUAAACCAAAAACAGUGAAUAUAGCAUGCAAGUAAUAAUCAGAAUAUUAUUCAGCUUCCAUUUCCAUGAAUCAAUCAGAGAUAAAGUUGAUCUUUAUUUGACAUUCAAUCAAACAGUCCCAAUCAAAUUUAAUUUGGGGCAGGGUAGAAAGAUGCAAGUCAUAAUAGGGAGAAAAGCUAUCAAGAAUGCCAUGCUGCUUGUUGCGACAAAUUUACCAUGUUACACCUUUUCGUGGAAGGGUCAAAAGAUCUGGAUGCGCUUAUCUGAAAUUCUUAAAUGAUCAGUUCAAACAAAUUAUAGAGCCAAAGCAAUUCAAAAUUUAGCAUUAUGAAGGAAAGGCUCGUGAUUAGUAUGCAAAUACGAAAGGCACAAGAUUACUACGAAGUAGGAUGACUGUCUGCCAAAGGCAAAAAUAACUCAGUUUUAUGCUUUUCUAAACUAAAGCAGAAACGACCGUACAAUUGCAGGAGAAAAAUUGAUGUAUGCUUUUUCUAACCUCAGCAGUAACGAACAGACAAUUGCGGCAAACAGGCUUGGGCAUCACAAUCGAGAACAUCUAUCACCAGCAUACCGCACCGAUUGCGACACCUCAUGUUGUCAAUCUACACUCUGAAAUAUGUCUACAUACAUCCGUAUGUCAUAGUUCAUUUGAAAUGUCAAGAAAGACAAAUAUUUGGAAACGGAUGGAGUAAUAGAUAACUUAUGUGCCCCAUAAAAGGAUACCAAACGCCGUGUGAGAGAUAAGAAUUCAGGGUGACAUCUGUCUAUACAAUUAGUUUUCAAGGCAAACUUUUGCACCAAGAUUGUGACAUAGUCACAUUCCAUCGAAUGAACAUGUGAUGCUGACCGAAGACUUGAUCAACUGUUUAAAUAUGCCUAUGAUAAAAAAUAGUUUAUUCAAAGCACAUUUAUCUAAGAAUGUAGUACGAUUUGUUUAAAGUCAAAAAUGAGAGAUUUGGUUACAUCCUAAAUUAUCAUAUAUAUUGAGGAAUAAAUUUCAUCAACUCAUGAUCUAAAAUGAAAGGACUUCUUAUUAGUGGCAUAAAGUCGUGAGAAAGCCAUGUUAUAUGCACUCUAUUAUGUGUUGGAGCACAUGUGUGCUCGUUAUCCCUCCCAUCAAGUUGCCCCGGGAUUUACAGCCCAACACGCAUAGGCCACUAAUAAUCUAUGUAUGCUUCUUUUGAACAGUGAAUAUGGCCCACAUCUGAAGUCCAUGAAACAUGACUAUGUGAGGCACUUUCACACCGGAUCGAAUGUCAGACCACCAUAUGGGUCGUCCAAGACGAGAUUCUGGACUAACAGAGUCAUUUUCGAGUCGAUUUAUUAUGUCUGACUCAUGCAUGUGGCUUCCCUUCCCCUACACAACUAAAGCUCGUCCCUCACUGGCUAAAGCGAACUCCACCUAGAUCCACCAUUCCCCCGCAGUCAAUUCUUCCUCAUCAGCCAUUCCCGAAGACAUCUUGCCGCUCAUUCCUGGCUUCGAUUGCGGAGAGCAGAUCAUAACAUAGAUUGCCCAUAGUGUGGCAAAUGUCGGCAAUCUGCCCCCGGUCACCUGCAACCACAAGAGUCCCUUUAGUAUGAAUCAGAUUCACACCAUAACCAUUUGCAACAAUCUAGUCCUCUAAUACAAGCCCAUCAUAAUUCUCAAUAGUCAUUAAAAUAUGGAAUCAAAACAGCUAACAAUCUAUCAUGUAUCCAAAAUUGACACCUAUGCUUAUCAUACAUGCCGGAGAAAAAUAGCUACAAUGUUGCUGUCAAGAUAACAUUUUGGAAGCAUUUUCUCUCAAAUAAGUAUUAAUAGAUCAGACACUGACAAAAUGAUUAUGGUAGUGUAAACCAAACGAAAUGACAUGGCCCACACACCAAUCUAUUCAGGAGUGUUACAUUAAUCCAACAAUUUGUUCAGCGCAUGGUAGCUAUAUAAAUAAUCCAGAUAUCAUUCGUGUUGACAGAAAUUAGCAAUGCUCCCAAGUACAUACAAAAUUGUCGAGAGAGAAUUUCCUAGCAUGCUGAGUUUCCAAAGACUGGACUUCUUAAUAAUGACACACCUUCGUGUCCAUGCAGGAGCUUUAGGGUCGAUCAGGCCAUAGAUUUCUUCGAUGUUGGCGACGAAUCUUCCGUUCAAGCUUCCGUUGCCCCUCCACCACACAUAUUUGCGCGUCUCCACUCACUCCCCUCAUAGGCGGCCGCUGCUCGACAUGUUGAGCCACUCAUGGCUGUCUCCACUCACUCCCCUCAUAGGAAUAGUGAACCGUAAAAAUAUUUUCAGAGUAUUAGGCUUGUAUCAUGAAUUAUGUUCGCUUCUAUCAAUGCUUCAAGACGCAAAGCUUUUUGUGUUUGCUAAGAAAACUAAGCAAAUAUGAAGGUAAAAGGAAAUCAUCAAUAUAAUUCCGCAAAAACUACUACAUGGAACGGACAUGAAAUGUUGCGGAAAUUGCUGAAUCUUGCUUUUCUGGAACAACGAUAUAGAGUGUUCACUACUGACUUGCACAUACUUUGCAAUCAGAAAAAAGCUUCAUCAAUUAUGUAGACGCGGUGAAAGGGAAUACAACAUACAAAAUCUAGAUACAGAAUUCAAGAUAAUAAAGCUAGAUGGAGCUAACACGACACAAUAUGCUUCAUCGUUUAGCGGGUACUCCCAUGCAUAUACUAAAUCAUAUAGACAUACACUUCAACCAUCAGAACUAUGCCAGAACUGGAACUGGUUUGUUCUUACAUGUCAUUUCCAGUGAGAAAAGGGGGAUGCUAUACAUUCCAAGUCGCAAAAAUUGUCUUAAAAUUAUAAGAAGCAAACUAAAAAUUAUAAAUAAUCAGAAGAAGUGCUCCCGCUGAGCGAAAACACAUUGCAUCUGAACAAUGCAAAGCAACUGCAGCACAUAAGCUAGCACCUUAUUCAUGCUUUAAAGGUGUACAGUUUGACCACCUACUUGUAGCUACUAUACACAUUCACAAGACAUUAGGCCUUUCAUGUAAUAUUUUUCUAGGCAAGAAAACAUUGCUAUAUGACGUAACUCGUAGUAGUAGGUAAAUUCACAAACUGUGUAUGUUGUAUCAAUGACUCUGCUGUAAUCAAACUUUGAAGCUACAAUCAGAUAAAGGAAUAAUAUGAACUUCAGUUAACUGAUGUAAAAUAACAAAAAGAGGCAUGUCUAAAGAACACAAUGGAAGAAUAGAAAAAUGCAUGUAGAAGAUUACACAUGAUCUAAUCAUAUACCUUGCCACCCAAAAUUUUGCCUUUGUCGUAUCAAUGAGUUUGCUGUAAAUGAGGAAGUAGUAAUUUUUGCACGUACUCUAGGUGUUUUGUCAUCGGUUGAACGACAAGCUUCUUCAUUUUUGGAAACUACACGAACAAGACAAAACAUUUGUUCACAGUAAGUUAGUAACCCUAAAGGAUCUACUUACUCGGAGAAAUUCAUAAGAACAAACUGCAUAUACAGUAAAACACAACGAGCUCUGAAUCAAAGUAUAACUAUUUGAAAAUCUUUGGAGAAGAUCAAACAAUACAUCAUUGCAUCACUACUCGGGGUCACUAACGGAGGCGCCAAUUCCUUCGAGCUGGGGAAAGGGGAAUUGAAGGUGCUCGGCAGAACUGGAAGGGGGAGAAAUGAAAACCUCAAACACUACCAUUUGAAGAGCAGAGGAUAUAUAUUUAGGCACUCACAGAAAUAAUCAUCGGAGGUCCUGUACAGAUACAAGUAGGUGGUGGCAUCGCCGUCUUAGCUCGGUUGUCCAAGCAACACAGAAUGUCCUGAUCACCACACAGUUGAAAUUGAAAGUGUUUGCAACUCUGCAAAUUAUAUACAUAUCCAACGAUUUAGUUGGGAGUUUAUUCUGCACCAUUUGUGAAAACACACACUCACAAGCAAUUCGUUGAGUAGACACCAUGAAAUAAAAUUAUAUUGUGAAAAAUACUAUUUAUCAAACAGGUGAAACAAACUAAUCAGGUGCAUCUCCGUAAGCAAAGAAAAAGGCAGACCAAAAUCUAUAGGAUAUGAGACAUAUAUAUCUCUUUGUUUAUAUAUAGACACACACACACACGUCAUAAUACCUUGACUUUCUUCCAGAGACUAAACAUUGGUUUGUGGACUAAAAACUCAGAGAAAAAAUUACCAGAAUGGGUAAAUGAGUAAUGGAGCAAACAUGCACAUUACUGAGAGAGAACACAUGUCCAGUGCAUACAGUUAUAAACAACCAUACUUAUAUAAUUUCCAUGUGGGAGAAGUAUAUUAGGUUAUGAAAGCAAGCGCCGUCGUUCGUGAUUUUAACGCACACGACUGAUGUCAUGUCACAAUGGUGCCAACCGGCUUGCCCAUGACACAGCUAGAUUCUG
This 5807-nucleotide long non-coding RNA is filed under the name Triticum aestivum (bread wheat). RNAcentral describes it as "long non-coding RNA (TAES_LNC023323)". Lineage: Eukaryota; Viridiplantae; Streptophyta; Magnoliopsida; Poales; Poaceae. The record is from RNAcentral.